AUCGAAGUAUUCUUGAAAGAAACUCGAGUCGAAAUUUUUGUAAGGAUAAAGAAAAAAUAUUAAUAUUUUAAACAUACCAUUUUGAUCUGUGGUUGCAUUGAUGAGACUUUCUGUUAUCAACUUUUGGCCCUCAGGUGAUUUUACAACAUUUUCAAGCUUUGGGGUGGAAAAUGUAUGCACUAAUCCUGUUUCUGAAACAACCAAAACCAUUACUUCGCUCCCGGUCAAAAGAGCUAGUUCAUUUGCCUAAUAAUUAUUAGAAAAACAAUACAUUACUAAAAAUUAAAUUUCGCUCUAACUUGAAAUCUCACAAUUGCCAGGGAUUUUUACCUUUUUAAAAAUUCCAGCUUUUCUUUUAGUAAAAGUAUUUUGCCUUUUUUGUCUGUCUUCCAAAUAGCUAUUUCCCUGUGAACUUCCAGUAUACGCUUUCUCACCAUCUAUUUGAAAGUUUGAAAGCUUUCUUUCAUCCAUCAUUUAGAAGGUAAAUUGUCGAUUUUUUAAACAAACUGACACACUUGAAAAUGUGUGUUUCUUUGUUACAAAUUGUAAAGUUCAAGUUAGGUUAAAUUUCCUAAAUUCCAAGUAACUUUCAUUUAUACCUUAUAACGAACUUGGAGUUCGUUAAAAUUCGGUUAUUACACUAAACAAGAUCAAACGUUUCACAUUUACCCAAAUUAUAACAACAACUCAUAAAUAACAAUAUUGCCAGUGGUAAUUAUUUGCUUUUUCUGCUCUUAUUAAAUGAGAUUAAAGUGAUUUAAAUGGAACGUUUGAAUAUCUUUUAC
Molecule: non-coding RNA, 785 nt
Organism: Schizosaccharomyces pombe (fission yeast)
Lineage: Eukaryota; Fungi; Ascomycota; Schizosaccharomycetes; Schizosaccharomycetales; Schizosaccharomycetaceae
Source: the annotation of a GenBank genome assembly